ACUCCUACGGGAGGCAGCAGUGGGGAAUAUUGCACAAUGGGGAAACCCUGAUGCAGCCAUGCCGCGUGUGUGAAGAAGGCCUUCGGGUUGUAAAGCACUUUCAGUAGGGAGGAAGGUAGUGUAGUUAACACCUGCAUUAUUUGACGUUACCUACAGAAGAAGCACCGGCUAACUCCGUGCCAGCAGCCGCGGUAAUACGGAGGGGUGCGAGCGUUAAUCGGAAUUACUGGGCGUAAAGCGCAUGCAGGCGGCCUGUUAAGUCAGAUGUGAAAGCCCGGGGGCUUAACCUCGGAAUUGCAUUUGAAACUGGCAGGCUAGAGUCUUGUAGAGGGGGUAGAAUUUCAGGUGUAGCGGUGAAAUGCGUAGAGAUCUGAAGGAAUACCAGUGGCGAAGCGGCCCCCUGGACAAAGACUGACGCUCAGAUGCGAAAGCGUGGGGAGCGAAACAGGAUUAGAUACCCUGGUAGCACAGAG
RNAcentral lists this ribosomal RNA (473 nucleotides) under uncultured bacterium. Its description in RNAcentral is "bacterial SSU rRNA". It matches the Rfam family "Bacterial small subunit ribosomal RNA", at positions 335 to 799 of the family's 1533-position model. The record is from RNAcentral.